Molecule: ribosomal RNA, 472 nt
Filed under: uncultured bacterium
Lineage: Bacteria
Description: bacterial SSU rRNA
Rfam family: Bacterial small subunit ribosomal RNA
Source: RNAcentral
UGGGGAAUUUUGGACAAUGGGGGCAACCCUGAUCCAGCCAUUCCGCGUGAGUGAAGAAGGCCUUCGGGUUGUAAAGCUCUUUCAGCAGGAACGAAACGGUCGGCUUUAGUAAAGUCGGCUAAUGACGGUACCUGCAGAAGAAGCACCGGCUAACUACGUGCCAGCAGCCGCGGUAAUACGUAGGGUGCGAGCGUUAAUCGGAAUUACUGGGCGUAAAGCGUGCGCAGGCGGCGACAUAAGACAGAUGUGAAAUCCCCGGGCUCAACCUGGGAACUGCGUUUGUGACUGUGUUGCUAGAGUGUAGCAGAGGGGGGUGGAAUUCCACGUGUAGCAGUGAAAUGCGUAGAGAUGUGGAGGAACACCGAUGGCGAAGGCAGCCCCCUGGGUUAACACUGACGCUCAUGCACGAAAGCGUGGGGAGCAAACAGGAUUAGAUACCCGAGUAGUCCCUGAGCGGGCUGGCAAGGCGCAU